AAUUUUGGAACAUUGGUAGAUUGGGAUAUAGAAAAGUGUGCGUGUUAUUGGCAAAUGUAGAACAUAGGAAGAUAAGGUUAUAGUGCAUUGUGCAGGCACACCACCAUGUACUCUUGAUGUAGAGUACUCCUACCCUUUGGAUUAUGCCCAGCAAGUGCACUAUCCCAAUUCCCUAUUCUCAAUAUGUUGGUUCAAUAUGUAUUAGGACACCAAGAAAGUUCCAUGAGAUUUGUGUUUGUGCAGAGGGAUCAGGACUUAAUGGAAGUGUCAGUCUCAACAUGCUCUGGAAAGGGGAGAAACAAUGCAACAGGUUGCCAGUAUUGUCCUGCAGACAUCAAGACAUGGUCACAAUAUCCCACUGCUUAUAGAUGAUCUAAAAAGCCAUUGAAAGUCAUUUUAAUAGUAAAUCCCCUGAGGCCUGCUGCUAUAAGGACUAAUGCUAUAUUGACUAGUGUGUGGAUCAUAUUAAUUAAUGGUUGCCUAUGUCAGCUUACCAGUAACUUACUUCCAUAAUGUUAAAACAUUUCAUGUGAUUGUGUUUUG
Molecule: long non-coding RNA, 543 nt
Organism: Ruditapes philippinarum (Manila clam)
Lineage: Eukaryota; Metazoa; Mollusca; Bivalvia; Venerida; Veneridae
Exons: 3
Source: RefSeq, a predicted model, not a curated record